RNAcentral lists this microRNA precursor (57 nucleotides) under Caenorhabditis elegans. Its description in RNAcentral is "microRNA cel-mir-2216 precursor". Lineage: Eukaryota; Metazoa; Nematoda; Chromadorea; Rhabditida; Rhabditidae. The record is from miRBase by way of RNAcentral.
GCACAUUUUAAGUCGGUAGGCGUCCAAUUUUGAUGCCUAUCUACUUAAAAUGUGCCU